This 434-nucleotide ribosomal RNA is filed under the name uncultured fungus. RNAcentral's name for it is "SSU rRNA". It matches the Rfam family "Eukaryotic small subunit ribosomal RNA", at positions 20 to 457 of the family's 1831-position model. The record is from RNAcentral. Lineage: Eukaryota; Fungi.
GUAGUCAUAUGCUUGUCUCAAAGAUUAAGCCAUGCAUGUCUAAGUAUAAGCAACCUAUACUGUGAAACUGCGAAUGGCUCAUUAAAUCAGUUAUCGUUUAUUUGAUAGUACCUUACUACUUGGAUACCUGUGGUAAUUCUAGAGCUAAUACAUGCUAAAAACCUCGACUUCGGAAGGGGUGUAUUUAUUAGAUAAAAAACCAAUGCCCUUCGGGGCUCCUUGGUGAUUCAUAAUAACUUAACGAAUCGCAUGGCCUUGCGCCGGCGAUGGUUCAUUCAAAUUUCUGCCCUAUCAACUUUCGAAGUGAGGGUAGUGGCCUCACUUGGUGUCUACGGGUAACGGGGAAUUAGGGUUCUAUUCCGGAGAGGGAGCCUGAGAAACGGCUACCACAUCCAAGGAAGGCAGCAGGCGCGCAAAUUACCCAAUCCUAAUUC